UACGUAGGUGGCAAGCGUUGUUCGGAAUUACUGGGCGUAAAGCGCGUGUAGGCGGCUCUUCAAGUCAGGCGUGAAAGCCCCGGGCUUAACUGAGGAAGAGCACCCGAAACUGAGUGGCUAGAGUACGAAAGAGGGUCGCGGAAUUCCCGGUGUAGAGGUGAAAUUCGUAGAUAUCGGGAGGAACACCGGUGGCGAAGGCGGCGACCUGGGUCGAUACUGACGCUGAUGCGCGAAAGCGUGGGGAGCAAACAGG
This 253-nucleotide ribosomal RNA is filed under the name uncultured bacterium. RNAcentral describes it as "partial 16S ribosomal RNA". It matches the Rfam family "Bacterial small subunit ribosomal RNA", at positions 524 to 776 of the family's 1533-position model. The record is from RNAcentral.